GUUCAAAUACAGUUGAAGCCUUUCUGAUGAGCUGUGCAGCAGGUCUGGAUGUGAGGAUGAAGAACGCUCUGCUCUGCAUGCUGGGCUUUUUCUCGCUCUGGUCUUUCAUAUCUGCACGGUAUUAUGGAGCAACAAUGCAGGGACAGCACAAAGGAGACAGGAAAAGGAGAGGAUAGUGCAACUGGGC
This is a long non-coding RNA of Cyprinodon tularosa, 187 nucleotides long. RefSeq lists it as uncharacterized. The record is from RefSeq and is a predicted model, not a curated record. NCBI's taxonomy places the organism in Eukaryota, Metazoa, Chordata, Actinopteri, Cyprinodontiformes, Cyprinodontidae. The transcript has 3 exons.